UACAGAGGUCUCAAGCGUUGUUCGGAUUCAUUGGGCGUAAAGGGUGUGUAGGUGGCGCGCUAAGUCGGGUGUGAAAUUUCGGAGCUUAACUCCGAAACUGCAUUCGAUACUGGCGUGCUUGAGGACUGGAGAGGAGACUGGAAUUCAUGGUGUAGCAGUGAAAAUGCGUAGAGAUCAUGAGGAAGACCAGUGGCGAAGGCGGGUCUCUGGACAGUUCCUGACACUGAGACACGAAGGCCAGGGGAGCAAACGGG
RNAcentral lists this ribosomal RNA (254 nucleotides) under uncultured bacterium. Its description in RNAcentral is "partial 16S ribosomal RNA". It matches the Rfam family "Bacterial small subunit ribosomal RNA", at positions 524 to 776 of the family's 1533-position model. The record is from RNAcentral.